GAGUUUGAUCGUGGCUCAGAUUGAACGCUGGCGGCAUGCCUUACACAUGCAAGUCGAACGGCAGCAUGAUCUAGCUUGCUAGAUUGAUGGCGAGUGGCGAACGGGGUGAGUAAUACAUCGGAACGUGCCCUGUAGUGGGGGAUAACUAGUCGAAAGAUUAGCUAAUACCGCAUACGACCUGAGGGUGAAGGUGGGGGACCGCAAGGCCUCAUGCUAUAGGAGCGGCCGAUGUCUGAUUAGCUAGUUGGUGGGGUAAAGGCCCACCAAGGCGACGAUCAGUAGCUGGUCUGAGAGGACGAUCAGCCACACUGGGACUGAGACACGGCCCAGACUCCUACGGGAGGCAGCAGUGGGGAAUUUUGGACAAUGGGCGAAAGCCUGAUCCAGCAAUGCCGCGUGUGUGAAGAAGG
RNAcentral lists this ribosomal RNA (410 nucleotides) under uncultured microorganism. Its description in RNAcentral is "bacterial SSU rRNA". It matches the Rfam family "Bacterial small subunit ribosomal RNA", at positions 9 to 414 of the family's 1533-position model. The record is from RNAcentral.